RNAcentral lists this microRNA precursor (61 nucleotides) under Human immunodeficiency virus 1. RNAcentral describes it as "Trans-activation response element (TAR)". It matches the Rfam family "Trans-activation response element (TAR)". Rfam says of the family: The TAR hairpin acts as a binding site for the Tat protein and this interaction stimulates the activity of the long terminal repeat promoter. The record is from Rfam by way of RNAcentral. Lineage: Riboviria; Pararnavirae; Artverviricota; Revtraviricetes; Ortervirales; Retroviridae.
AGGUCUCUCUUGCUAGACCAGAUCUGAGCCUAGGAGCUCUCUGGCUAGUUAAGGAACCCAC